Oncorhynchus tshawytscha (Chinook salmon) is the source of this 1516-nucleotide long non-coding RNA. The record is from Ensembl. NCBI's taxonomy places the organism in Eukaryota, Metazoa, Chordata, Actinopteri, Salmoniformes, Salmonidae.
AUUUGUUGUUUCUAUGUCUUAUGAAUUUGUUGUUCGCAAAUUUCUGUGAAAAUAGCCUAAAUUAUUUUUGAUCUUCGGGCAAUAGAGAGAGCAGAGUACAGUAUAUUGAAAUUCUGUUGGUCGAAUAGCAGAUUAUUUUAACCACUUCCUGUCUAGGCUUGAUAAACCAGUCUACUUGUUACCUGAAGGGCGUGGUUAUAUUGGGGCCAGUGAAUCUGCCGUUUACUCACCUUAUUCGUAACAACGCUCACCUGCUCUCACUUUGUCUCUUUCCCAUUGCUCUCACACACAAAAACACGUCCCAGAGAGGAGAAACUAUCAGGAGAGAAGAAUCAUGUCGGUGGAAGUCCACAUAGAAUAUUGUAGUGGAUGAGGGUACGAGUCUUGCUAUCAGGACCUAGCAUCUGCCAUCAAGCGGAACGUUCCUGAUGUGACGGUGACGGGAACCACGGGGCGGCGCUGUAAGUGUCACACACACACACACACACACACAGCUUGAAGUUACCCUGUCAGAUAGUGACCUCACAGCUGUGCUUCACACACAGAACGACGUUACAGAUCUCAUCGGACGUCAACUACACUCUGAUGGUCCAUCCAUUAGAUUUGAUCAAUACCUCAGUAGAUUAUGUUAUAUUCUAAUGAUCAUGGUUUGUCCCACAGCCAGUUUCGAGGUAACAGUGAAUGGUAAACUGGCCUACUCUAAACUGGAGGCAGGAGGAUUCCCAGACACCAAGGAGAUGGUGGCGAUGGUGAAGGAGGUGAGCCGUGGAGGAAAGGUGGAGAAAGUGAAGAAGAAGGAUAAUAAGUGUUUUCUCCAAUAGAUGAGUGGUUAUUGAGAGGAGAGUGUUUUUUUAAGAUCCUGGGUCCUGAACUGAUUCUAUUAAUGAUUGUUCACAAUGAAACUAGGGAUGUGAACAUGAUGAAGUCGACAGUCAUUUCAACUCUGUGAUCUGAGGGAAAUACUCUUAUCCUGUGUCUCUGUGUUACACUGUCAUGUCUUAUGUUAUUCCUUGUCUGUUUUUCUUUCCUUAUACAGACCAAGAUAUUAUAGACUGACGAGCAUUUAGUUUUGCAUUCUAGAAAUAUUGUACUCAAUGUAGACCUCUGCAGUUGUAUAGGCUGUACGUGUAUUUUUAAAUGAUCAAAUAAAUUCUAGGAAUCAAUUAGUAUUGAGUUUGUGUGUGGGGAGGGUGCUGUUGGACAUUUACAAUAAUGCUGUUGGACAUUUACAAUAAUGCUGUUGGACAUUUACAAUAAAGCUGUUGGACAUUUACAAUAAAGCUGUUGGACAUUUACAAUAAUGCUGUUGGACAUUUACAAUAAAGCUGUUGGACAUUUACAAUAAUGCUGUUGGACAUUUACAAUAAAGCUGUUGGACAUUUACAAUAAAGCUGUUGGACAUUUACAAUAAAGCUGUUGGACAUUUACAAUAAUGCUGUUGGACAUUUACAAUAAAGCUGUUGGACAUUUACAAUAAAGCUGUUGGACAUUUACAAUAAUGCUGUUGGACAUUUAC